RNAcentral lists this ribosomal RNA (500 nucleotides) under uncultured bacterium. RNAcentral's name for it is "bacterial SSU rRNA". It matches the Rfam family "Bacterial small subunit ribosomal RNA", at positions 8 to 507 of the family's 1533-position model. The record is from RNAcentral.
AGAGUUUGAUCAUGGCUCAGGAUUAACGCUGGCGGUAUGCCUAACACAUGCAAGUCGAACGGAAUACUAAUUAAGAGAAUCUCACACUAGUGAGAGGUUCUAACGAGUAGUAUUUAGUGGCGGACGGGUGAGUAACACGUUGGAACCUGCCCCGAAGUGGGGAAUAACUGCUCGAAAGAGUAGCUAAUACCCCAUAGUAUCCGGUUUAUCCGGAUUAAAGAUUUAUCGCUUCGGGAGGGGCCUGCGUCUGAUUAGCUAGUUGGUGAGGUAAAAGCUCACCAAGGCGACGAUCAGUAGCUGGUUCGAGAGGAUGACCAGCCACACUGGGACUGAGAUACGGCCCAGACUCCUACGGGAGGCAGCAGUGAGGAAUCUUCCACAAUGGGCGCAAGCCUGAUGGAGCAAUACCGCGUGCAGGAAGACGCUUUUCGGAGUGUAAACUGCUUUUGUCGUCGAAGAUUAUGACUGUAGACGAAGAAUAAGGACCGGCUAACUACGUG